RNAcentral lists this ribosomal RNA (451 nucleotides) under uncultured bacterium. Its description in RNAcentral is "bacterial SSU rRNA". It matches the Rfam family "Bacterial small subunit ribosomal RNA", at positions 113 to 582 of the family's 1533-position model. The record is from RNAcentral.
AUACAUAGAUAACAUGCCCUUUAGAGAGGGAUAACUGUUGGAAACGACAGCUAAUACCUCAUAUGCUAUAUAUCAUAAGAUAUAUAGUGAAAAGGUUAAUUCUGCUAAAGGAUUGGUCUAUGACCUAUUAGUUAGUUGGUGAGGUAAAGGCUCACCAAGACAAUGACGGGUAGCUGGUUUGAGAGGAUGAACAGCCACACCGGAACUGAGACACGGUCCGGACUCCUACGGGAGGCAGCAGUAGGGAAUAUUGCACAAUGGGGGAAACCCUGAUGCAGCAACGCCGCGUGGAGGAUGAAGCAUUUCGGUGUGUAAACUCCUUUUAACAAGGAAGAAAUUGACGGUACUUGUUGAAUAAGCACCGGCUAACUCCGUGCCAGCAGCCGCGGUAAUACGGAGGGUGCAAGCGUUACUCGGAAUUACUGGGCGUANAGGGUAUGUAGGCGGACUA